UACGUAGGGGGCAAGCGUUGUCCGGAUUUAUUGGGCGUAAAGAGCGUGUAGGCGGCUUUACAGGUCCGUUGUGAAAACUCGAGGCUCAACCUCGAGACGCCGGUGGAAACCGUAAGGCUAGAGUCCGGAAGAGGAGAGUGGAAUUCCUGGUGUAGCGGUGAAAUGCACAGAUAUCAGGAAGAACACCCGUGGCGAAGGCGGCUCUCUGGGACGGUACUGACGCUGAGACGCGAAAGCGUGGGGAGCGAACAGG
This 253-nucleotide ribosomal RNA is filed under the name uncultured bacterium. RNAcentral's name for it is "partial 16S ribosomal RNA". It matches the Rfam family "Bacterial small subunit ribosomal RNA", at positions 524 to 776 of the family's 1533-position model. The record is from RNAcentral.